Molecule: long non-coding RNA, 335 nt
Organism: Ictalurus punctatus (channel catfish)
Lineage: Eukaryota; Metazoa; Chordata; Actinopteri; Siluriformes; Ictaluridae
Source: Ensembl
UUGUGUGUAUGUCAGUGUUGAUUGUGUGUGUGUGUUUGUGUGUAUGUCAGUAUUGACUGUGUGUUGUUGAUUGUGUGUUUGUGUGUAUGUCAGUGUUGAUUGUGUGUGUGUGUUUGUGUGUAUGUCAGUGUUGAUUGUGUGUGUGUGUUUGUGUGUAUGUCAGUGUUGAUUGUGUGUGGGUGUGUGUGUGUGUUUGUGUGUGUGUUUGUGUGUAUGUCAGUGUUGAUUGUGUGUUGUUGAUUGUGUGUGUGUUUGUGUGUAUGUCAGUAUUGAUUGUGUGUGUGUGUGUGUGUGUGUGUGUGUUUGUGUGUAUGUCAGUAUUGAUUGUGUGUGGG